UUAUUUUGUCGUUUGCAUGAAAACUGAAACCUGAAAAGAUGACUUAAAGAUACAUGAACAGGCAGAAACCGCAAGCCAACAUGACUUAAAGAGAAUUUCUUCGAAGUAAAUUUUCCCACGGUUUGUUUGUGUAGGAGAAAAUCUAGGUCCCUCGUUAUCUCGUGUUUAGAAUUGUCAACUGUCGUGCGAACCUCUAAAGAUUCAAGAAAAUCAAAGACAAUUUCAGAUUUUUCUUCACCUGGGAUGUGGCUAAUUUCUUUCGGCACCCAUACCUUCUGUAUCAUUUAAAAUGUCUUAAUAAGCUUAAUUAGCCCCCAUGAAAUGCUUCACAGCUGAAGGCACAGCGAGUGUGCCUUUUAUUUUACUACAUCGACUUUCACAUGGAGAUUAUAAGCCGUAGUUAAAUUGUAAGAUAAGAAUGAAAUUAUGGAUACGUCAAAGUGCCAAGUUGAAUUAAUAAAAAAAUAGGAAAACGACGGUUGUGUGUGUCUAUCCUACAUUAUAAGGAAACAGUUAAGUUUCCAACAAGAGACAUGAUAGCCUUUUAUUUUAUUAUCCUAAAAAAAUUGGCUCAAAUAUUUUAUAAUAAAUAUUAAUAUAAUAUAAAUAUUUUAAAUAAUUUUAAUAAUUAAAAAAUACUAUAAUAUCUGCUGUACCGUACAUCCGCCUCCCACUUGUGAUUGCCCCGAUCAUGGCACCAAAGGUUAAUAUGGAGCCAAACACAGAAUACUGCAUGAGUGUAAACCAAAACCAAAAUGAAAAAAUUUCAUAUUUACCAACUGAAUGGAAUUAGUCUCUGCAGGAAUCAUAAUAACAUUUCUGCACAUCUGCUUCAGCUUAAUAUAACUUGUAUUCAACAAGACAUGCUCUGUCGCUAAAACAUCCUUGUCAAGACACUAAACUCAUGAUUCUUUACUUCUUAGUAAAUAAACGUACACUAAAAAAGUGAUUAAUUUGGAACUAAUUAGAAGAAUGCCCAUUCAUCAGCAUACCUCUGCGAGGGACAGAGCGAUAUCUUCCCUGAUAGCACUCUGAGUAGGAGAUGAAUAUCCAGCCUGCAAAACCAAAUUGACAAUUCCACAACCUAAGCCUUCCAAGCAUUCAACAGAAAAAAAAGUGAAAAUCAUUGUUUCAGAAUUUGGUUUCAGGAAAUGGACUUACACACGAUCCGAAAGCAUAAGAACCGCAAACUGCAAUGGGUGUGCUGAAGUAAACCAUGCACGGAUUUACUUUCUUGUUGUUUGUUCGGUCACCAGCUCCACCAUCUUCAUGAGCUAAGAUGUUCUCAAUCGGCAUAAGUGGUUCCCUUAUAUUUUCUUGAACAUCCUCUUUGACGUCCAUGAUGAUGCUGAUACCUUCCAAAAAGUUGCCUUAGUUUAUCUAAUAGAAGAAAUUGAAAGAAAUUGUUACAAGAUAAAGGAGAUACGCGAAGAUGGAAGCAGAAGCAAACUAUAUCAUCUAUCAAUUAGCCACAAGAGGCUGGAAUUUCUUGAGUCUUCCCUCAAUACUCCUUCGUGAGUUUUAUGAAAGUACUAACACUGAGGACAAGUAGGCAAUUUGUUUUUUCACACAACUGGAUAAUGAAUCUGAAUCAACGACCAUAUGUACACGUUCUACUCGAAGUAAUAUGUACGCUACUAAACUCAACUGGUGUUAUUUUGUCGUUUGCAUGAAAACUGAAACCUGAAAAGAUGACUUAAAGAUACAUGAACAGGCAGAAACCGCAAGCCAACAUGACUUAAAGAGAAUUUCUUCGAAGUAAAUUUUCCCACGGUUUGUUUGUGUAGGAGAAAAUCUAGGUCCCUCGUUAUCUCGUGUUUAGAAUUGUCAACUGUCGUGCGAACCUCUAAAGAUUCAAGAAAAUCAAAGACAAUUUCAGAUUUUUCUUCACCUGGGAUGUGGCUAAUUUCUUUCGGCACCCAUACCUUCUGUAUCAUUUAAAAUGUCUUAAUAAGCUUAAUUAGCCCCCAUGAAAUGCUUCACAGCUGAAGGCACAGCGAGUGUGCCUUUUAUUUUACUACAUCGACUUUCACAUGGAGAUUAUAAGCCGUAGUUAAAUUGUAAGAUAAGAAUGAAAUUAUGGAUACGUCAAAGUGCCAAGUUGAAUUAAUAAAAAAAUAGGAAAACGACGGUUGUG
This 2137-nucleotide long non-coding RNA is filed under the name Citrus sinensis (sweet orange). Its description in RNAcentral is "long non-coding RNA (CSIN_LNC002392)". Lineage: Eukaryota; Viridiplantae; Streptophyta; Magnoliopsida; Sapindales; Rutaceae. The record is from RNAcentral.